UACGUAGGGCGCAAGCGUUGUCCGGAAUUAUUGGGCGUAAAGAGCUCGUAGGCGGCUUGUCACGUCGGGUGUGAAAGCCCGGGGCUUAACCCCGGGUCUGCAUUCGAUACGGGCUAGCUAGAGUGUGGUAGGGGAGAUCGGAAUUCCUGGUGUAGCGGUGAAAUGCGCAGAUAUCAGGAGGAACACCGGUGGCGAAGGCGGAUCUCUGGGCCAUUAAUGACGCUGAGGAGCGAAAGCGUGGGGAGAGAACAGG
RNAcentral lists this ribosomal RNA (253 nucleotides) under uncultured bacterium. Its description in RNAcentral is "partial 16S ribosomal RNA". It matches the Rfam family "Bacterial small subunit ribosomal RNA", at positions 524 to 776 of the family's 1533-position model. The record is from RNAcentral.